RNAcentral lists this long non-coding RNA (1102 nucleotides) under Nicotiana tabacum (common tobacco). Its description in RNAcentral is "long non-coding RNA (NTAB_LNC017211)". The record is from RNAcentral. Lineage: Eukaryota; Viridiplantae; Streptophyta; Magnoliopsida; Solanales; Solanaceae.
AAUUCCUUGCCUCAUGUUGAUAAUAUAAGAGUGAGGUCAUCAAGAUGAUGCAAGGGAGCGACCAGUACACUGCAUGCUUCAACAGUGUUGUUGUAUUGUUGCGUAUACAGUAUAGCAGCUUUAACAGCUGUUAGAUUUGACUUGUACUGUCAUCAUAGGAACUGAUCUCUAUAUGUUCCCUCUAACUGAUGCCUCUGUCGUUCCUUUAACUGAUUUCAUUGGAACUUGUGCCAGAUAUUUGACUUGUUCUGAGCACUGAGAGGCUUUGUAUCAGGUUCCCUAUCUGGUUCUCAUAUGAAGUUUGUUAAAUUAUCAAAACAAAAAGGCACAUAACUUAUCAAGUACCUUUGUAACUGUGGUAUUAGAUAUGUCAUGAUAUUUCUACGGGUAUAAAAGCAAGUCAUUAAGUGUUAUUUGGAAAGUUUAAAAUUAAAAAGUUUCCAAAUAUAAAAAAGUGUCAUUCUUUUUGGAACAAAUAAAGAAAACAAGUGUCCGAAUAAAUGGAACAGAGGGAUCAUUAAAGUAAUGUGGAGUACCUGUAUUAUUUGUUGUAUUUUAUAGUCUCAUUUUGCAGGAGUUGAACCAUAUAUAACACUCUACCACUGGGACCUUCCUCAAGCUCUGGAAGAUAAAUACAACGGAUGGCUCAGUCCAGAGAUCAUGUAAAUAGCUUAAUUUACAUUACUUCUCUAUCUUUGCUAAAACAAAAUGUUGUAAAACAUAAAAUCAACUUAGAUCCCUUAACUCAUUGCACACAAGACUUCGUUAUAUAUGCAGAGACGUGUUUUCUGGCAUUUGGCGACAGAGUGAAACAUUGGAUCACGCUCAACGAAUCCCAUAAUUUUGUGCAACAAGGCUAUGAUCUCGAGGGCGAAGCUACACUUUGGUAAGGUUGUCGGAAAAUUACACUGUGUAUAUAGGUAAAAUAUCAGAUUUUAGAAGUACAUAACAUAUAUUGAACACCCUUUGCCGGAAAUUUUUUCACUUCUUUCAAGUUUGAACAUCCUUGAGGAAAUUUCUGGCUUCGCCACUGUAUGAUCUAGGCAGCCAGCCACCGGCGCGUUGCUCUAUCCUACUUCGUGCCUUUUGUAGUGAAGGGAAU